UAAGUCCCCGUCAAGCGCCGGAACAGACGCCGUGUACACACGGGCGGCUGUUCCGGCAUUUGACGGGACAACAGGUAUGAGCAAGGAGGGCGAGAGCCCGGAAUGCGAAUACCUGUCAGCGCUGCGGGAGCAGCGCGGGGACUUA
Non-coding RNA from Oribacterium sp. oral taxon 078, 145 nucleotides. Lineage: Bacteria; Bacillati; Bacillota; Clostridia; Lachnospirales; Lachnospiraceae. The record is from Rfam.